Zingiber officinale is the source of this 3071-nucleotide RNA transcript. RefSeq lists it as uncharacterized. The transcript is spliced from 7 exons. The record is from RefSeq and is a predicted model, not a curated record. NCBI's taxonomy places the organism in Eukaryota, Viridiplantae, Streptophyta, Magnoliopsida, Zingiberales, Zingiberaceae.
CAAUCGUCGGGGUUUCUUUCUCCUUUUUAAUUUUUCGUCUCUGUCACGCAUUAGGAUGACGGUCAUGAUCGCCAUCUACUUCUAGGGUUUGAUUUUACACGGCAGAUCCGUAUCCAGAAUCGACCUCGACGAUCGAGAGAGAUCGCUGACGCGGUAGUCGGCAAUGGCGGAAUUGGACUCCGAGUUCCAGCGCGGUUUGGAGGAGCUCGUCCGCGGCCACCUCGACGGAUGCAUAACUGGCCCCGGCCUUGCCUCUUCUUCUUCCUCCUCCUCCUGCGCCGGAGGCGAAGAUGAGCAGCUCGCUCGCCGGCGCCGCCGUUCCCACCUUGAGGGGGAUGAGCUCGCCGAGUCGUCCGCAGCGGCGCGGCGGCAGUCCCGGAUCCUCAGCCGCUGGGCCGCCCGUCAGGCCGAGGAGAUGAUCACCAACAUCGAGCGGAGGAACCGGGAGACUGAGCUGAUGGCGCUUGCCGGCCUCCACACCGUCUCCAUGCUCGAUUCCUCCUUCCUCCGCGAGCCGGGGCGGUCCCCUUCCUCUUCUCUGGUGGAACGUCCGGCGGCUGCCCGAGCGUCGUCCAUCCUUCAGAUGCGGCGGGAGCUGGAGCACUUGACUGCCGCCGCCAGGGGGCGAAGGGGGAGUGCGACGGAGUCGUUGGACGGAGACAGGAGCCACGCCGAGGGUAGGGGUCUUGGGGGAAGCUCAGUGGCCGCGAGCGAGACUGAUUAUAAUAGCUACGACCAGUGGUCUCGUGCGGAUUUGGAUUUAUUGCGACGGCCAGGUGAGGAGGACGACCGGAGGUCAAGCAGGGAGCAAUCGCCUGAUCUCGGGGAAGGUGAGAGAGAGAGGGUGAGGCAGAUCGUUCGAGGAUGGGUAACGGAAAGUGUCAUUACAGAGACAGAACCAAGAAUUUCACCGAGGAAUGAAGUCCAGAGGGCAGAGUGGCUUGGGGAGAUUGAAAGAGAAAGGGUGAGGUUGGUAAGGGAAUGGGUGCAGAUGGCUAGCCAACAGCAGAGAGACGCUCGGGCUAGCAGGAGAGGGAGGGAGAUGGACCGAGAUGAAUUAGUCACAGAUACUGAGGAUGGUCAGCCGGAGCAUGUCCAGAGAGAGUUGCUGAGGCUGCGAGGGAGGCAAGCUCGCCUUGAGUUGAUCAUGAGGAUGGUGACAGAGAGGCAGAGUGAGCUUCAAAGCUUGUCGGAGCAUCAUGCAGUUUCAGAGUUUGCUCAUCGCAAUCGCAUUCAAUCACUUCUUAGGGGUAGAUUCUUGAGAAAUGGUAGACCAACUGAGGAGGAUGAAGAAAGACCUCCUUCAGCAGCAGCCAGGGAAAUAGGCCAGCUCAGACAACGGCACCGUGUAUCUGGUCUUCGGGAGGGUUUUCGAUUCAGAUUAGAGAAUAUUGUUCGUGGUCAAGCAAACAGCCAUAAUGACACAUUUGCUAAUCCAAGCUCUACUACUGUACAAACUAAUCAUUCCCAGGAAAGUCAAGGUCCAGAGAUAUCUAAUGAUAAUCAAGAUCAGAACCAAUCUAUGAUUGUGGAAACAAGUGUUGAUCAAGUGUCUGGGACACAUUCAACAACUGAAUUAGAGACUAUCGUUGUCAAUGAUAAUAUCAAUUUCAAUGAAUCGGCUUCUCAGUUGGAUAUAUUGCAGGAGGAAACAAUGCUAGAGAGAAGAGUUUGGGAGCCAGUUAGUGAAGUUGGUUUGAGUCAGUGGCAUACAGAGGAUGGAGGAGACUUUGAUGAAAACUGGCAGGAAAAUUUAGUUCAGGACUGGGUAGAUGAAACACCUGAGAAUGGAGAUGAAGGGGACAAUCAUCUCCCAGAGGCUCAAGAGGGAUGGCAUGAAGAUGAAUCCCAUGUUACUGAAGGAACCUGGCAGGAUGAACACUCUGAUGUAUUGAAUGAUUCUAGGGCAAGCCCUAGUAGAAGAGUUGAUAGAUUUAUCCCACCCGAUGAUGAAAAUGUAUAUAGCAUGGAACUCAGGGAACUUCUAAGCAGGAGAAGUGUUUCUAACCUUCUUCACAGUGGUUUUCGUGAAAGCCUAGACCAAUUAAUACAGUCCUAUAUUGAACGGCAAGGAAGAUCUCCCAUUGAUUGGGAUCUCCAAAGACCUUUGCCUACUCCUAAUUCGCCAGAUGAAGAUCAGGAAAAUCAGGUCGAUGGUCUUACCCAGAAUGUUCAAAACGCUGCACCCAGACAUCCAACUAUGUUUCCACCUCCUCCUUUGCCACCUCGACAACCAAUAUGGCAUUCAACCCUACAUCAUAACAAUUGGUCCAGAAGAAACAUGCACAGAUCAGAAAUUGUGCGAACCUUUUGCCAUCACAGGAGUGGGAUGUUAUUAAUGAUUUGAGGGCUGAUAUGGCUAGGCUACAACAAGGGAUGAGUAAUAUGCAAAGAAUGUUGGAGGCUUGCAUGGAUAUGCAACUAGAGUUGCAGCGGUCUGUUAGGCAGGAAGUUUCUGCAGCUUUGAAUCGUUCAGUUGGAGGACCAGGCUUGUAUGAGGUGUCGGCUGAUGAUGGAUCCAAAUGGAGUCAAGUGAGGAAGGGUACCUGCUGCAUCUGCUGCGAUAGUCAUAUAGACUCCCUUCUUUAUAGAUGUGGGCACAUGUGCACAUGUUCAAAAUGUGCCAAUGAGUUGGUUCGGACAGGAGGCAAGUGUCCACUGUGUCGUGCACCGAUCAUCGAGGUCAUCCGAGCCUAUUCUAUACAAUAAACAGCAGCAUUACUUAAACGUUCAAGUUAAAUAUUGCGACUGUCAACUGCCCAAGGUGUAUGUCUGUUGGACGUCCAUGUCAUUUUGUUCCUCUCCCUCUUGAGGUCCUUGGAACAGGAAGAUGUUUCACCUGACAAUGUUCCAUGCUGCAUUACUAUCAUUAUUUGUUGUAUCUAGAUUUCAUCUAGAUAUAUAUAGAAUGCUGAAUCCAUGUUUUCCUUUUGCUGGUACUAUGAUUGUUAAUUUAAUGCAAGACUCGAUCAGAACAUCCAUGUAUCCUAUCCUAGGGUGUGAAAGUGUAGCUGAAAUGUGUAUAUCAUUAUUUAUUAUUUUUAUUUAAUCCAAGUUCAAUAUGUUAUAAA